Molecule: non-coding RNA, 462 nt
Organism: Chionomys nivalis (European snow vole)
Lineage: Eukaryota; Metazoa; Chordata; Mammalia; Rodentia; Cricetidae
Source: the annotation of a RefSeq genome assembly
AUGCUUCCUGACACCUGCUCUGUCCUGGUGCUCCUGUUAAUGCUCAGGAGGAGCAAUGGAGACUCAGUGUCCCAGACAGAAGGCCUGGUUACUGUCACAGAGGGGUCACCUGUGAUGCUGAACUGCACCUAUCAGACUACUUACUCAAAUUCUUUCCCUCUAUGGUUCGUGCAAUAUCCCAACAAAGCCCCUCAGCGACUCCUGUGGAGCACCACAGACAACAAGAGGACAGAGCACCGAGGGUUCCACGCCACUCUCCAUAAGAGCAACAGCUCCUUCCACCUGCAGAAGCCCUCAGUGCAGCUGUGGGACUCUGCCCUGUACUACUGUGCUGUGAGUGACACAGUGAAGGAGACUGCAGGGGAAGCUGCACACAAACCAAGGGGCCAGGAGGGCUUAGGGGAGUGGCCCUGUGAGGGAGGGCUGGGUAUGUCUCUAAAUGGGGUUUGCUCAGCCUCCUGA